This 87-nucleotide transfer RNA is filed under the name Actinomycetota bacterium. RNAcentral's name for it is "tRNA-Leu". It matches the Rfam family "tRNA". From Rfam's summary of the family: Transfer RNA (tRNA) molecules are approximately 80 nucleotides in length. Lineage: Bacteria; Bacillati; Actinomycetota. The record is from RNAcentral.
GCCCGGGUGGCGGAACAGGCAGACGCGCCGGUCUCAAAAACCGGUGGCCGAAAGGUCGUGCGGGUUCGAUUCCCGCCCCGGGCACCA